AUUUGAUCUCAGCACAGCUCUGAUUAAACAAGUGACUGUUUUCAGUCCAUCAGUCAAUGUCAAAUCUCAGACAGAGACAAGCACACUGCGAAACCCCGUGGCUUCAGCCCCGACUCACUGGCCAAGUCCUGAGGAUCAGUACGGAGGCGUGUUUCUGGAAGCGGUUUACAUCUUGCACAACAAAAGGAGGACAAAUGGAAGGAGGAAAAUCUCACCGUGCCACUAAGAAACCUGACUUGGAGCUGCCUCACCCCUUACACUCUCAGAUUCAUUACCAAGAUUUGGGAAAUAAAGGAACAAUUUAAUAGGAAGACAAGAUGCACUUAAAUACACUGAAAAAGAAUGGACAAACAUAAUUAGCACCAUGGUAAGAAUCAUUGCCUCUUCAAAAACAUCUCUUUCCUUACCUUCUUGAAACCACUUCCCUCUUUUUGGGCAUAAGUCCAGAAGAAGAAAAAGGAUAUUUUCCCUCCUUCUUUUUGAUAAAAUAAUCCAUUUUACUGCUUCAGACAAGCUGUUAUUCAUCUUGAACCUGUCCAUCCCUCCCACUGGGAGCUCCAGAUUGAUUUACCAGCUAAUCCGGUUAGCAGCUCCUGCCAGCCACGGCAUUCCAACAUCCCCUAAUACAAAGCAGAGGAAAAACUGCACAUACGUGUGUGUGACAGAGAGCAUGUGUAUGUUUGUACAUGCAUGUACAUCUGUGUGUUUGGGCCAGAAAAUGAGAAAGCAACAAAGAAAUUGUUAACUCAGAAGUCCCUUUCUACUUUCAGAGCAGAACUACACUUCCAAGCCGAGGAGCAGAGAAGCUCUAGCAGAAGCUGCUAAAUACAGGACAAUGAUGCUAGCAGCAAAGUAGCACCAACUCUGCAGAUCUCCUCCAUACCCCCAAGCUUUCUGGUGCUGGUGUGAAAAAAAAUCAUCUGAUAAUCCCUGAGAUUUCACAAGACAAAAUAUGGGUGGCCACAACACAGCGUCCUAUGAACCCUCAUACAGUUUUACCUAUAUUUGCUGACAGCCCUGGUUCACUCAGCUCUCCAGCCAACUAGCAGUUUCUUUGUCUUUCCCUCAGGUCAGGCAGUUGGUUACAUUACAAGAAAAAAAAAAAAAAGUGGCAAAGAUCAAAACUGCUAUUGCCACAUCUGCCACCUAUGACUCUGGCAGCAACGUUCAGUGAACAGGGAAUAAAUGAGGUAAGAAGAAAAAAGAACAGGCUGGUGCUGCCUGAACAGUAUCACUGUCCCAGGAUUUCUGACUGUACUGCACUUGAGGUUAAAGCCUCACUGGAGUAAUACUGCAACAUCUGGGGCCGUGCUUCCAAAGAAGCUUCCCUUUUCUAGGAAGACAUUUCUGAUAGCUCUGCAUCCAGAUUCCUGUUCCUUGAUAGAAGACAAGACUGUUAGAGAGGCUGUGGGAGAAAAGGUGAGUGAGUAUUUGGAAGACUAGGUAAGAAGCAGAAGUGUGGGCACACGGAGAGGAUGCAUGUGCAUAUACAAGACAGGCCUGAGGAUAUCUUUGUGAGAAAGCAAGUGGGAGUAUGCACCCUUGCUGAGUGUGGAGACAUGCCACGCUGUUUGCGCGUUGUUGCAAGCACAUGGGAUUGUUUGCAAAAUGGCUUCAGAUCAAUGGGUCAACUCUCCAGUUGCUAAGCCCCUGCCACUCUGGGUUCACUAUUCUUGUACCACAAGCUGCUGCAGCCGUACCGGGAAGGUACAAGAGCAGAGAGGCACACUAAGUGGGAAAUGAGCAAGUGUCACGAAACAAAAUCAAUAGCCUGGAGCCAAAGCUGUUUCUCUCCCUUUCCUGUCUCUGAUUUGUGUGUGUGCAUGCCUGUGUGUGUGUGUAACUCCAGGGCUUCUUUACCUCCUCUAUUCCCUUCUUUCCCUGCCACUGCAAAUGUUGCAGAGCAUGAUAAUGAAAGCUGGUGUCCAAGCCACCAGACAAGCCCAUCACUGCAAUCAGAACAACUGCACGAGAUAGCAGCCUGCGGGCUCAUCAAGCUGUCCUGACGCUGGCCAGCCUCAUGCACGUGAAGAUGCCAAUCUCGCCUCUCUCCCAUUCCUCCUCCUCCUCUUUGGCAGCCCAGUCUCCUCACCCUCCUCCCGCUGCCACGCUCCCGUCCUCGCCCUCCCCCUCUCCUCCAUCCAUGCGCAGCACCAGAGGAACGCCAGCCUGGGCCACAUCCCAGCCUUGUCUCUUAACGAUUCUGAUAGGAAAUGCCCAGCAGGCUGAAUCUUUCCUAGAAAAGCAAGGGGAGGUCGGAAGGCAUAUGGUUGCUGUCCUCUGAGCUCCGGGUGACAAGGUCUGUGAUGCUGCCUCCUUCCCAGGCGGAAAAGGGAAAAAAAGAGAGAGAGAAAGAGAGAAAUAUCUCCUGCCUGGGCUUUGGGAAAUCACAGGCUGCUCCCUGCAGUGAGCAAACCUCUCUGACCCCGUACCACACUGCUGGGCACAUAUCACACUACCCUGGCAUAGCAGAGGCUGGCAUUGUCCCAAAAUGAGAAGUUAAAAACGCAGAGAGCCUGACAUCUCUCAGCUUGUUUGUUUAACACAGUCAUGGGGUGCUCCUCUCUUUGCGAGAACAAACAUCGGGCUGCCUAUCCUCCCUGACCUAGAAUCACAAGUUUUGAGGCACAUUUGGUACCAAAGGUGAACCUCAAAGAGAGAACAGAAGAAUUCCUGUGUCUUUGUGACUUCUAUUGUCAUUGCUGGCAGAUGCUUUGCCCAGUUCCACUCACAGUUACUUAAAAUCCUGCUGGAACCAAGAGUUACCUGGCUGUCCAGGCUGUGAGCUGGGCCGAAUGUCUAGGCUGUUUGUUAUGGCAAGAGCAAUGUGAUCUCUGGAGAACAAGCUCACCACUACAUGGGACAGGGAAGGUGGGCACAGAGCUGGCAAUGGGCCACACUCUGCUCAGAGACUUGCUGGACUCUGGACAACCAAAUUAAGCAGCUGAAAAGAAGCAGGACAACACUUCUCCCACUUGUUCUAUAGAACUUGUUGCAACAACCCCUGUCCUAGUCAUCUGUGCCACUGGCACGAAGGGAAGUUAGCAAUUUUGCAUUUUAACCCUAAGUAUAAGUGAGUUUAGGUUAUUGCACUGUAGGCCUUCUACAGGGUUGUUUUUCAGCAGCAGCAUGUUCUCAUAAAACACAGAAUGGAACUACACAUUUCCCCACUAAACGAGCACAAGGGCUCUUCUUUCAUACAAGUGAGUUCUCUCAACAUAUGAAUUCACUGAUCUUUCUUAUUGAACCUACAUAAAGCUUCUUUCCAACAUACACCUCACCUUUAAUAAUCAAUAUUUCCUUUCCACUUGCUCAGCUUUCAAGGUCGUAUGUUGAACAGAUUAUUCACACUUUUAGGAAUCUCCUCUUAGGCUGAUGCUACCACUGACAUUAUGAGGAAUUUAAAGCAAAAACACACUGAACCCAGCUUGAGGUUGACUUGCCAAUGGAAUCUUAGGCCAAAAAAAAAAAGAAGAAAGUGCUGUUUGUCCAAAGUAAAAGGGCAAAUAAAAUCAUUUCCAGGCUUUUAAAGAAGCUAUUACAUAUAGCAAAGUAAAAGAAAGAUUACUUGAUGACAGUGGCCUUUUAAAAUCUUACAGAGAGCAGGAGCACUAAGCAGUUAGCCAAAGGCUAUCUAUAUUCUGCUACUCUUACACGUGCUCCUAGCUCCUGCUUUAGAAAACGUCCUUUCACAGUCAUGGCACUGUAUUCAGAACACGGAACAAUUACCUGUAAUCCUACACGCUAUCAUAUCCAUUGAUUCCAUGCAGUAGCUUUUAAAAAAUAUUUAUCUAAAUGGGAUUCGAGCAUGCCGUAAUACUAGCCUGCAUUUGGAACGCGGUGCUAACUAUGAGCAAAAUGAAACAGAAGAAAAGUUCAGGAGCUUUUUGCUGUCUUUUCUUUUAAACACAAAAUGUCUCCAUUAUCAAGAUGAUUUUAUCCUAGAAGCAGAGAAAUAGAUUAGUUACACCAAAUGCCAGUGAGCACCAUCACCUCUAGGAAGCUGUGGCUAGCCACAGCACUAAACAAGGUAUUUGCUGCAGCUGAGCUUGUGCCAGAGUCUCCAUACCUGCAUAGGGAAUGCAUUGGUUUGGACAGCGCUGAGUCUAGCAGAAAAACCCAAGAGCUCGCCAAGCACAACAGCCCAGAUCUGUGCAGUCUCAGUACAAGACGAACUUCAGAUUCAAACAUUUCAGCUCUGAUAUGGAAUCAAAAGAGGGCUGUUUCCUGGAAAUCAUUAAAUGAAGCUCACCCCACUUGAAAUCUUCAGUGAGAUCCUACAUCACAACAGGCUGAUGCCUCUAAAGACCUCGCUGGAUUCCCACCACGAUUUGGCCUUAAACCUGAAGUUUCAACACCCCGUUUACCACCCCCACCAGAGUGCUACUCUACCAUUAACUACUUUUUUACCUUCAACACCAUUUUUACCUUAUGACCUGAAAGCGCUCUACCAAUAUGAGAUUUAACAAUUCCAGUCAUCCCCUGUCUUGGAGGCAACUAAGGCUUCUUGCCCUUCUGUGGCAGACAGAUACAUUGCUCACAAGGAGUUGACAUGAGAUGGAGAAGGUCAAACAGUAAUGAAGUGGCAGUGGUUUGGAGGAGAACCCAGAAGUCCAGUAGCCCAGACCCCUGUUUAAUCUCGUAGACUUCCCUAUAACCAGUUUUUAUGUUUCAGAAGGAAAAGAAGAGUAACGACUGUGACUUAUCAAAUGUCUAAACAGAAGCAGGGGGGAAAAAAAGUGUGCUUGGCUGUCUGACUAUUACAAAAUGCUUGCAAAUGCAAAUUAACCUCACCUGAGUCCAUUUCACAUUCGGAGGAGGUAGCUAGUCUAUCCACCAGCCCACCAGAGCAACAUGGGAGACAUCAGGACACCAUCACAAACACCAUGCUCAUCUCCAAACAAGGGGCUGAAGUUUGGUGGGGGAUUCCCGGAAAGCCCGCUUGGGCUGCAUUUAUUCCUGUGAAGCCAGGUGGGACGGGAUGGCCAUCAAUCUGUUCACACCUUGUCAACAAGGGGCCUGCUCUGAGCACAUCCC
Non-coding RNA from Anas platyrhynchos (mallard), 5037 nucleotides. The record is from RefSeq and is a predicted model, not a curated record. NCBI's taxonomy places the organism in Eukaryota, Metazoa, Chordata, Aves, Anseriformes, Anatidae.